AUCAAAGGAUUUGAAAGAAUUGGCCCUUGAAGCAAGUUUGAUCGAAGGUCAAGAAUAUGAAGAUUCUUUCCUGGGAAUUGUUCCAAAGUGGUCAGAAAAUUGUAAGAAAGGUACAACUCGAGCAAGCUUUCCCACCCUUCUGCUUCCCGUUUGGAAAUUCCACCAUAAAUCUUGUUAUUGGAAAGAUCUAAAAUCUCCAAAUUUGAUGUUCGAAAGAAACUUGGGAAUUGUGUUAUGCUACAAGAAGAGAAUGACACAUUACAAAGCUGAGGGAAGGAAUAGUUAACAUCAUUUUCGCUUGCGCUUAAUGAUAGUAAACUAUUAUUUGAAAGAACAAGAUGGGUAAGAUUUUUGAGUUUUGCAAGCAUAUUUGACUUGAUGACACCACUCAAGUUGUUUGAGGAAAGAUCAAGCCUUUCAAGGCUCACAAGAUCAAAAAAAGAAUUGGGUAUUGAUCCAUGAAUGUCAUUAGAACUCAAAUAAAUAUGUUUUAGAGAAUUAGGCUUCUGAAUUUGGUUGAUUGAGCCGGUGAGUUUGUUAUGGCUGAGUCCUAAAUAUUUCAAAGAUGGCAAAGUAAACAGCCAAGAUGGUAGUCCACCACUUAUAAGGUUACCGGAUAAGAGAAUUUCUUCUAGCAAUCGAAGCUCACUAACAUGAUUUGGCAGGGGACCUUCUAAUCGAUUAUGUGACAAAUCUAGUUGGGUGAGUUGUGUGAGAUUGAACAUAGUUGUUGGAAGUUGACCACUAAAAUUGCAGCAAGAAAAUGACAAAAAAGUCAAUUUAUUAAGGUUUCCAAAAGCAUCUGGAAUCUGUCCUCCAAAAUCAUUUUCAGAAAAAUCUAAGUGGAUGAUUUGACUGAGAUUUCCAAUUGAUGCAGGAAUUGACCCUCUAAAACUGCAAAAGGAAAGGUCCAACAACUUAAGGCCACUACUCAAGUUUGACUUAGGGAAAUAAUCUGUAAGAUUUCUGUUACUACUUAAAUCCAUGUGCUGGAGGUAUGGGAGGCGAAAAAUUUCACUUGGAAAUUCCCCAUGCAGUUCACACGCUCCGAGACUCAAACGUUCCAGAGAUGAAGUCAAGUUCAAAAAGGAAGGAAGUGCAACAUCAGACAUAUCUACAGAGUCAAGGAUAAGGUUUCUUAAUUCAGUUAAGUUGCAUGCAAGCAUGUCAAAACCUUGACUAUCAAAUCUCAAAUCGUGAUAACCAUUAUUGGAAAGAUCGAGUGAAACCAAUUUUGACAGGAGACUGAUAUCAUAUGGGAUUAAGUCAGAGAAUGAAUUAUGGGAGAGAUUAAGAUGGGUCAAACUCACUAAUUGAUUAAAUAACUCUGAUGAGAUAGAGCCAUUGAAAUCGUUGAAAGCAAGGUUGAGUUGUUGGAGUCCUUGACGGUGGAAGAGGCUGCUGUUUUCAAGAAAAGAGCCAUGAAGGUUGUUGGAACUAAGAUCGAGCCAUUGAAGUCUUUGAAGGUGAAAGAGGCUGCUGUUCGCAGGGAGAGUGCCGUUAAGGCAACUGUUACUAAGGUCGAUGCCAAUGACAUGACCCGUCACCAUGUGGCAACUGACUCCAUCCCAUGAACAGCAAUCCGUGCUUUCAUUCCAAGAAUUUGUUGUAGGGUAAGAAGAAGGCACCGAACAAUCAUCUAGAGAAAUGGUGUUUUUCAAUUCAAGCAAGGCAGCUCUCUGCUCUGGGAGGCACAAAUGAGCUGAAUGAAGAAAAGAGGAAGGGGAACUCAAUGAACAAUAGACCUGGAAAUGCAAGAAUGCUAAAAGCAAGCAAAGGAUUCGAUACAACAUGCUAACCACCUUUCCCAUAUUUUCUCGAGGAAAAGGAAGUUAUGAAACAAGGGUAGUCGAAAAGGGCAAGCUAGGGAGGUGAAACUGAAAAUGAGUUGGGGUUGAGGUCAAGGGACAUUAUAAAUGAAGUACCUGAGAAGUGGAGACAUCUCCUUUUCAAGUCAACCAACAGGUCUUUGCAAUAUCUCUUAAAUUGUCAAAAUUAAAUUAAUGGGAUAAAAAGGAAAAGUGAUUGUGCCCUGUUAGAAUGAAAAAGCAUUAAGGACGCUGUAUCCUAUCCCAUCUGAGACAUUAGUAGGAUUUGCAUAUUUUUCUUGAUUUCUCAUUUGAUGUCUACUUUUAUUUUAUGCUUGUUGGGAUAGGCUUAUUAGAUCCAAAUCUUGCCAGAGACACAAAACUAAUUCCUCUUAGAAUUGCAACUCAUUACUUUUUAACUCACUUGAUGUGAUAAUAAAAAUUAAAAAUUAUUAAAUAAAAGAAUUUUUUAUUGUAGAUUACAGCUAAUUCACGUUUUCAUCAAAGAAAUUAUAAAGAUUUUCAUAUUUUGGGAUCAUCAUCAGAAAUUAAAGAUAACUUUUUUUAUUUUUUUUCAGAAAAAAAAAGAGAGAUAGGUCAAAAGGAAGAAUUCAUGUCAAAAAGCAAACCGUGUGUGAGGAUAUGGCACUCAACAAUGUUAAAGGAAAAGCUUCGAGAUAGUAGAAGGAGAGGAAUCAGGAAAUUGCUGAAAAAGUGUAUAAGCAUGUUUUUCCCAUCCUUCCAUUGCAUUUUCAAGUUAAAAGAACCUACUUAAAGUUAGAGUAGCAUUAUUUUUUCUUAUAUUUUUGUUUUUACGUGUUUAACUCACCUGAUAAAAAAUUAAAUAAUUUAAAAAUAAAUUUUAUCAAUUUAUGAUAAAUCAAUUUAUUCAUAAAUACAAUGUUCAAAAUUGAAUCAAUUUACGAACUCAACAGUCAAAAAGAUUGUCUUUGUUUAUAUUUUCAUGCUUUACACACAGUCAGUCUUCGGUAACUUUCCCAGCAAUUAUUGAUUACUUCAAGUAUGGGAUAUCCUUUUGCCUUUUGUUCUUUAUUAAUUUCUUUAUUCUAUACAGGAUGGAGAACCUGUAUAGAAUUGCUAAAGACUUCUGUUGGCAUAUAAUUCUAAAUCGUGCAUCAUCAUGACCUAUGAGGUCUCCUCAUGAAAAUCCUUACAAUUGAUAAUAUUAUAGCAGCAUAUAUGAAACCAUGGAGGACCAAUUAGGAAUUAAUGGAAAAGUGAUGACAGCACUAAAUAAUUUUAUAAUUCUAUGAUAAGGUUGUUAAAUGUAUCUUUUAUCAAAUUUGAAGUUACUUUUAAAAAGAAAUGUAAAAUGGGCGAGUAAUGUCUUGUCAGAUAGGAAAGCAUCAACCAUGUUGUCUAGUUCACAUCUUAGAAAAGCCUUUUUUUUUUUUUUCUGGGGAUGUGCAAUGCAACUGUUCCUUUCGAGAAUAAGGUAUGAACUACUUACUGUUCCAUAACUGGUAUUCUGUUUUUUUUUCUUCUGGCUGUUCCAAAAAGGUGCCUAUUGCUUGAAAUUACUGUCGAGCAUACUUUAGAAUACCAAUUGAGGGAAAAAUUAGUCAGAACUUCAUUUUGCAAUGCUUUGCAAUUGCUCCUGCAUGUAUCAGAUCAUAGUUAACACCAUCUUGAUUUGUGUUUCUUUCCAGCUACAAUACUUUAGAAUGCAACGAUCGAAGUCAAUUAUUACUAAUAACUGAAGCUUGAGCUUUUCGUGUGAUUUAGACAUAAAAAGUUAUCAGAUCAAUGCUUAGACUUAGAUUAUUAUAAAUCGUAUCAAAUGUGUCAAUCCGAUAUAAACUUUCACAUUACGCUGGUGAAAUCUUAAUCCUGUGAAAUAAGCAUUGACUGUGAUUAUAAUGUGUGCCACAUUUACUGUGAAUGUAAUUUGUAAUUGUUAAGACUUUCAAGUCAAUCAUUAUUAACAACUUGAACUUACGAGCCACGUGGUUUAAACUUAAAAUUUACUAAUAACUUGAAAUUUAAAAUUUUAAAAGUCAUAUGGUUUAUACUUAAAAAUUCACUGAACCCACAUCUAAUUUAGAUUUGAAAACUAAUAACAACUUAAGUAUGAGUUUUUGAAGAUCACAUGAUUUAAACAUGAAAAAUUAUUAAAUCCACAUCUUGUGUAAAUUUGAUUAUUAAGACUUAUAUAAUUAUCCAAAUCAACCACUACUGACAACUUGAACUUGCCUAAAAUGUUACUGAACUCGUGCUUAUACAUCCAUUAGAACAAAGUUAAAUCUUAAAAUUAUCAUUCAUCGACAAAAAAUCAAGUCAUAUUUCUUUAUCAAAUUAAGCUGUUUUUUUUUUUCCAAUUUAUUGUCUGUGUGAAAAUAAACGGAGGCAUGAUUAGUACUAUCAUUCUUUCCACAACUUACAUUUCAUGGCACCUUAAUUUGCAGUCACAGAGGAAACGAACAGAGGUGGAGGCCAAGAAAUGAAAUAUGGAACAAAGAAUGAACUUUCUAUGUAAAAUUAUAUUCAAUUAAAAACGCGAUUCAACACUGACAGUUGACCCGAGUCUCCGUUCAACAAAAAAACAUCCAGAGGAACAUAAGGAGAGUCCAAUGAUGAUCCAAACCGGUAAGUUGGCUGUAAUAAUCUGCAACCUUUAGCACACUGGAUGGUUAGGAGACGUGGUCCGGUUCUCAUCUGCCAGACCUGUGCAUGAUGUGGUCAAGUAAACAUUGACUGGAAUAUAAUGCUAAACGUUUUCUCUACUAAAUGAAGUUCGAAGGGCUGCAUAAAGAAAACCAUCUGGGAAAGAUAGUUUCCACUCUCCAAUGACACAACUCAAUCUAGAACAGCAAAGCCAUAAAUCUAUCAAAUGUAUCUCUGAUAGAGGAAAAUUAAGUUACAUUGAAUCCACUCAUGAAAGCAUCAACGAAGAUGUUUUCUUUAUGGAGUGAACAUAGUUUCGAGUAAUCUGUCAAUCCGUUUGCACAAUUAUUUCCACACAAUUAAAGUAAUACAUCAAUUCAUUUCCACAAUUAUUUCACUAUAUUUUCGUACUAUUCAAUCCCAACUAUCUAUAGUGUAAGGGUCCGCUUGUAUGUAGCCCUAUGCACCCCAUAAGCCUGGAUGGCUAGAUGAUAUGGACCCACUGCCAAAAUGGUAAUGCAUUGUUGUCAUUGUGAUGAUAAAUCCUACUGACUAUUCCUGCUCUUACCAUCAUGGCCAUAAUAUAAAAAUAGAUUUUCAAAGUCCUAACAACAAGCACAACAAUAAAGAAAUAAUAAGAAAUACUUCGAAGAAACAUGAACACACCUCAACAAUUCCUUUUCGAGGUGCAUGAAUGGCUAAACAGAGGCAGUAGUCACUCUUUCCUGGUUCAUAGUAAGAGGAACCUGACCCUAUAGCCUCCUUAUUGACUAACAUUUCCAUGAAGAAGCAGUUUGCAUCACGAUAUCCCUGAAGAGUGUAUUAGGAAAACUGCUUACCGAAAAGGAUAAAAGAGCGGUUGCUUUUCAAGAAAUUGAAAACCAUAGAUGCAGAAGAAACCUUCCAUAGUCGCACUACUACAAGUGCCUGAGUAUCUAAGAGCAAUAUACGACCAAGUGAAUCUGUAAUAGCAGCCAAAGUGCAACUGGGUGAUAAGGUGAGCUUUUCACCUUUUCUUGGGUGAUCCUUCAAACAUGUCAAAGGAGAAGCUUGCAAAAGAUCAUGACAUCAAUAACACAUUCAACAGGUUUUGGCAAAGCCUUAAUAAAGAGAAAUAUGAAAGUGGCUAAGGUUUGUAUGCUAACUAAGCGUGUUAACAUGCAGAACACAUCAAAAGACACAACGAACUUGUAACAUUCUUUGUGUCAGAAUAUGAUAGAAACAUUAAAGUUCUUUCUUAAAUAAUUAAUACUCUCUCUAUCCCCUUAAAUAUUUAAUUGCACAUCAGAACACACUAAGAUGAACUCUUUUGGUGUAAGCCCAUAGUUGAACAGCAAAAAUAAGCAUGUGGCAAGGAUGACAAUAAAAGAUUACAAAAUGGAUUACUAAAUACAAUAAGCAGAGAAACAUGCGAGCAGAGGUUACAUGCUUAAUAAUGAGAUUGUUGCCACAAAUCUUGUGAUAGUACCAAAGGAAAAAUGAGAACUAAAGAUCAGUUAAAUGAUCUCGGCAACAGCAAACACUCCUGACCAAUGUAAAUCAGCUUCAAUCACCUAAAAAUUUGAAUCUAAGGAAAUAUUUCUUUCAGAACAAUUAUAAGUAUACAUGAAUUUUGAGACAAGCACAUAUUUUUAGAGAUUCACACUACAUAAUUUAAGUACCAUGGAGAAGAAAAUAGCAGAACCAAAUGAGGAACAAUAUACAAGUUUAACAAACUUCACCUCGAGCAAAUGAUUGAGGCUUCUCUUCUGACUUCCUCUUUGGCGUUUGUUCACUCCGCCAUAUCAUUUUAGAAAAAGCAAUUGUGGAAAAUGUUGCAGGCACAACUUUGACAAAAUAGCUCCUACCAAGGAACGGUUCCUAUCUUCUGAAAGUCUUCAACAUAAUUAAACAAAAGUUUAUCAAUAAAGCACCAAAAGAAAAGAAAAAAAGAAGCUACCCAUGAAAGAAUCCCUUCUUGUAAUGAAAGAUAAAUCAUACUAUAUUUCGAAAUGGGAAGAAACUAACCUGAAAGCUUAGAUCACAGCAUCAUCUCCAAUGGUGACUGCACAAUAGUAACGUUGAUUUGACUGCACAACAAUAAAAGCAGCUGAAUUCAAAUACCAGAAUAACUUCAGAAAGCUUCCAUAAUUCAUUGACGAAACAAACAAAAGCAUAAAUAAAAUGUCUUAUAAUGAGUUACCUGUCUAUGAAUCAAAUCACCACGCAAAGAGUAAACCAAGAUGAACCCUCGAGAGGUCCCAACUGCAAUCACUUUAAUCUCAUCAAAAACCAGCCACUCUAUGGCCGUGAUGUGCUGGGCCUCGAUAGGUGACAGUUCGGACGGAUCUGGACCCGAGGCUCAUCCGGGUCGGACCAUCCGAGGAUGAGAAUAAGUGAUCGGUUAGCAAUGGCGAGAGAAUGGGCGUCGAGAGCACAGAGGAGAGUGGUGCUGGCGUCAGGGGCUAGCCAUCCUUCCUUGCCAACGCCAAACUCGGACAAGUCUUCGCUGGCGAUGCAGCCGAGAACCGUCAAGUGUGAAGAAAAUUCAGAAAAUCAAUUAAAAAAAUUAAAAUUAAUGUUAAAGCAUUGGAACAUUUUUAAUUAAAAUCUUUUAAGUUACAACAUUUUUCGAUACAAACUUUAGAUAAAAGGGAUGAAAGCUGAACAUGAAAACCAAAUUAUCCACUACAACACCCAGAAUUGUUUAAACCGCUGUCAUGAGAAAUGAUUGAGCCAGAUGUUAGAGAAGCAGGCUGCAUUCGAUUCAGUUCCAAAGUCACCCUGACAAGUACAGAAAAAUAAAGGAAGAAUCAAUUGUUUAAAUCUAUGUGCUGGAGGUAUGGAAGGCAAAAAACUUCACUUGGAAAUUCCCCAUGUAGUUGACAAUCUCUGAGACUCAAACGUUCCAGAGAUGAAGUCAAGUUCAGAAAGGAAGGAAGUGCAACAUCAGACAUAUCUGCAAAGUUAAAGGUAAGGUUUCUUAAAUUGGUUAAGUUUUGUGCAAGCAUGUUAAAACCUUGGCUAUCAAAUCUCAAGCUGGAAAUAUAAGCAGUCGUGGAAAGAUCGAGUGAAACCAAUUUUGAUAGGAGACUAAUUUCAUAGGGGAUUAAGCCAGAGAAUGAAUUAGAAGAGAGAUUAAGAUGAGUCAAACUCACUAACUGAUUAAAUAACUUCGAUGAGAUAGAGCCAUUGAAAUUGUUGUGAGCAAGGUUGAGUCGUUGGAGUCCCUGAAGGUGGAAGAGGCUGCUGUUUUCAAGAAGAAAGCCAUCAAGUUUGUUGAAAUUGAGGUCGAGUCGUUGGAGUCCUUGAAGGAAGAAGAGACUACUAUUACCAUGGAGAGUGCCAUAAAGGCAGCUGGCACUGAAGUUGAUGCCAAUGACAUGACCAGUCACCACGUGGUCAAUGAAGCUGAAUCAAGAAAAGAGGAAGGGGUACUCAAUGAAAAAGAGACCUGAAAAUGCAAGAGAAGGAUUUGGAAUAACAACCUAAAUACCCUUCCCAUAUUUUCUCGAGAAAAAGAAAGUAUGAAACAAGGGUCGUCGAAAAGGGGCAAGAAAGGGAGGAGAACUUAAAAAUGAAUUGUUGUUGAGGCUGAGGGACAUGAGAAGUGAACUACGUAUUGGAGAAGUGGGGACAUGAAAGUGUUAGAAUGAAAAGCAUAAUCUUAUCCCAUUAGAGACUUUAGUAGGAUUUGCAUACUUUUCUUGCAUUCUCAUUCGAUAUGUUUAUUUUAGACUUAUUGGGAUAUGCUAAUUAGACCCAAAUUUCAUUAUUGGGAUAAGCUUAGAAUUGCAACUCAUUACAGCCUGCGUUAUUGUUUAUGUCAGCGUGAUUUUCGAUCUUCAAGUUUCAUUUUGUUCAGAAAAUUAAUCCAAAACUUUCUGUUCAAUUUUCCUAGAAGAGAAUGCAGCCUCAAAACUAAAAAAUAAAUAUAUGAAGUUUUUGUUGUAGGUUGCAACAAAGUCAGGUCAUCAGCAAAGCAAGUUUAAGAAAUUGGAAUGACUUUUACAAUUAAAGUCACCAUCUGAGAGAAAUUAAGCUCAAAAGUAAGAAAUUCAUGUCACAUGAAGCAUGUUGACUGUUGUGGUUUUUAUUUGAGGGCAUACAUUCAAAUUCAACCCUCGCAGACAGUCUUCACUCAACAAACUUAAAUUAAUUGUUACAUGGACCCUUAUUUCACGUUAAUCCCUUUUUUUACCUAUGAAAAAAAUAUAUAAUUUUUAAAUAUUUAGUUCAAUAAUAAAUAUAUAAAACGUAUAUAUAUGUCAUUUAUAAAUUUAAUACAUUAUGAUGCAACAUGUAAGUAAAAAUUAUUAUGAAUUCACUAUAUAAAAUAUGAACUCAUGCAUGCUCACAUGACAACUUUUGAUUACUUAUUACAGCAAGCUGAUGCAUGUGAUUAGAACAACCUAUUCAAUAAUUUUGGAUGCUUAUUGAUGAAUGACUCAUGGUGAUGCAAUUAUUAAGCAUUGAAACCAAGAGGAAGAAAUGAAAAGGGCAAUAGUGACAGAAGAUGAAGAGCGGCAAUUCAUAAAGGAAUAUCAAACAAGAUGGGCAAAGUGCCCUGUUAGAAAGGAAAGGCAUGAAGAGUGUUGACUUUGUCUGCUUACAUGUUAAAAUCGUACCAUAAAUUCUUUGUCUGCAUUGACCCUUGACAACCUGAGCAAAGAGUCAUUGAAAAACUUUCGAGAUGGACGAGUGAAGACUACGCCCACUCUUUUGAGAAAAAACUGUCAUUGGAUGACUUUUAAUAGGCCAUUCAAUGUGUGCCCUUCAAUGUAUUUGAGUAUUUAAUUUAAUAAUAAUUAUAUAAACAAGAAACACAGUAAAGAGAGAAAUGUACAGAGCCUAGCGGUGUAAGCAUGAGGUUACUGCAUCAAAUUGAAAAUGGAUGGCCAAGUAUAACACUGUUUGUAUAGGAGUAAAAAAUGUCAACCCCAGCCCCACCCAUUAAAAGUGAGUUAGAAUAACGUUGAUGCUAAUACACCCAAUACUACAUAUACUUUCAUUUAUAAAGUGUAAAAUAUAUAAAUACAACAUUUUGUUAAUAUAAUACAGGCACAAUUAUUUAUUUUUGGAUAAUGGAUGUUGACGUAGAAUAUGAUUUUGAAUUUAAUUCAUAUCUAGAUUUUGAUGGAUUAUUUGAAGAAUAAAAUAAAAUAAAUUGAGAAGCCAUUGAGACUGAAUAUGAUUUGAAUUAUACCUCAACAGUUAUGUCGAAAUGAUUGUGAUUAGUUUUUUCAUUGUUUUUGAGAGAAAGAAAGUUGUUGAAGCAAAGGGAGGUAAGGAGAAUCUCACACAUUUUACUUGGGUGUUUUUGUUUUGAAGGGUGCACACUUUACUUGUUUUGAAACUAUCUUAUAUGUAUGUUUCAUUAAGUGAAUUAAAUGUUUUGUUCUAUUAUUUUUUGUGUAAGAAAAUAGAGUUAAGCAUAUGAUUAUUUUUUAUUUUGAUUUAUUCAUGUGACUAAUAUUGAUUAAUAAUGAGGUAUGAAAUCUUUUGUUAUGUUGUAAAGCGUUAAGAGCUAUGAAUUAAUUCUUAAGAAGUAGGAUAAUCAAUAUUAAAAUUAAUUUUAGGAUCUUGUUAAUGGAUUAUAAUAGUUAACAUACGACCUAAAAACAGAAAAUACGACCUAAAAAUAGUUAAGGCAGCUUUCACUGAGGUCGAUGCCAAUGACAUGACCGGUCACGUUGUGGCAACAGACUCCAUCCCACGACUCCAUCCCAUGAACAACAAUCCGUGCUUUCGUUCCAAGAAUUUAUCCUGGGGUAUGAAGAAAAUGUCUGACAAUCACCUAAAGAAAUGGUGUUUUUGAAUUCCAGCAAGGCACUUCUCUGUUCUGGGAGGCAUAAAUGAGCUGAAUGAAGGGGAAAGUGGAAGGGAAACUCAAUGAACAAUAGACCAGGAAAUGCAAGAACGAUAAAAGCAGGAAAAGGACUCGAUACAACAUCCUAACUACCCUUCCCAUAUUUUCUCAAGAAAGAGAAAGUUAUGUAACAAGGGUCGUCCAAAAGGGGAUAUUUAGAUGAGUUAUGGCUGAGGCCAAGGGACAUAUAAAUAUAACUACUGGACAAGUGGAGACAUCUCUUUUUUCAAGUCAACCAACAAGUUUUUCCAAAAUCUUUUUAGUUGUGUCCCAUUAAUUAAGGCAUUUAAAGUCAAGUCUUCUCAACUUACAUAUUUAUUCAUUGUGUUGAGAAGUUUGAACAGCGAUAGUGUUUGAGCCUGGAAUCAAAACUAAAUUAAUGGUAUAGAAAGAAAAAGUGUUGGUGGCGUGAUAGAAUGGAAGCAUGAAUUGAACCUGCAGAUUGUCAUGAAUUCUCGUUGUAUGUCUACUUUUAUUUUAUCGUUCACUGGAAAGUCUUACUGGGAUCUGCUAAUUAGACUCAAAUUUCAUUGCAAUUCAUUACAGCCAGUUCUUUUAUUUUUCCUUAUAAUUUUACUUUUACUGUUUAACUCAUCUGACGUAGUAUUAUAAUAAACAAAAAGUUAUUGAUUAAGAAAUUCUUUAUGUAGAUUAAAGCUAAUUCAGGCCACCAUCAAAGCAACUUUAAGAAAAUACAAAAUUCGGUUCAUCACCAGAAAGAUAGCUUCUUUUUUCAAUAAAAAAAAACAAUAUUAAAUUACGUUUAUAAGCAUGUUUUUAUCAUCCUUCAAUUACUUUUUCACGUUAAAAGCACCUACUAAAAAUUAGAGUAAUGUUAUUUUUCUUUAUAUUUUUGUUUUUACUAAAAUGAUUAAAAAAUUAAAAUUUUAUUACAUAAUUUAAAAAUAAGAUUUAUUAAUUUAUGAUAAGUCAAUUUAUUCAUAAAUACAAUGUUCAAAAUUAAAUCAAUUUAUAAUAUGUCAAUUGACUAUAUGAAACAAAUGAAAGUAAGAAUUAUACAAAAACAAAAUUGAAUAUUGUUUUGAAAGUAACUCAAAAAUUCAUUUAUGAGGCUGCGAAAAUGGAUCCUCCGCUUUGAAGCGCUGAAGAAAUAUAUAAACAGGAAACACAGUAAAGAGAGAAAUACACAGAGCCUAGUGGUGUAAGUAUGAGAGUAUUGCAUCAAAUUGAAAAUGGAAGGCCAAGUAUAACAGUGUCUGUAUAGGAGUAGAAAAUGUCAACCCCAGCCGCGACCCAUCAAAAGUGAGUUAGAAUAAGGUUGAUGCUAGUACACCCCAAUACAACAUGUACUUUCAUUUAUAAAGCAUAUACUUUCAUUUAUAAAGUGUAAAAUAUAUAAAUACAACAUUUUCUUAAUAUAAAACAAGCACAAUUAUUUAUUUUUUGAUAAUGAAUGUUGACGUAGAACAUGAUUUUGAAUUUAAUUCAUAUUUGGAUUUUUGAUGAAUUAUUUUUAAAAAAUAAAAUAAAAUAAAUUGAGAAGUCGUUAAGACUCAAUGUGGUUUGAAUUAUACCUCAACAGUUAUGUUGAAAUGACUGUGAUCAGUUUUUCUUUUUUUUUUUUGAGAGAAAAAAAGAAGUUGUUGAAACAACGGGAGGUAAGUAGAAUCUCACACCCUUUACUUCCUUUUUUUGGUUUAAAGGCGCACACUUUACUUGUUUUCAAACUAUCUUACAUAUAUGUAUGUUUUUUUUUUCUUUUAUUUGGCUACCCAUCCGUGGAGGAUGGGAGUUUAUAUAUAUGUAUGUUUCAUUAAGUGAAUUAAAAGUUUUUGUUUCAUUAUUUUUUGCAUAAAAAAAAUAGGGUUAAGCAUAUGAUUGUUUUUUUAUUUUGAUUUAUUCAUGUGAUUGAAUAUUGAUUCAUAAUGAGAUAUGAAAUAUUUUGUUAGGUUGUAAAGUUUUAAGAGCUACAUUAAGUCUUGAGAAGUAGGAUAAUCAACACUAAAACUAAUUCUACAACCUUUGUUAAUGGGUUAUAAUAGUUAGCAUAUGACCCAAUAACAGAAUAUAAUAAGCUAGCAAACAAUCCCCCUAGCGGAUUAUAAUAGUUAGCAUAUGAAAUAGAACAUGAUUUUGAAUUUAAUUCCUAUUUGGAUUUUAAUGGAUUAUUUGAAAAAUAAAAUAAAACAAAUUGAGAAGCCAUUAAGACUGUGAGUGCAUACACUUUAUAUAUUAAUCAAAUACUCAAGUGCAAUGUUUAGGAUUUAAAUAAAAAUCUUGCAAAUUACAACAUCUUCAAUACAAAUUCUAAAUUCAUAAAAAAAAAAAAAAACCUUCUUCAAAACAUGUGUUUUCCGAGCCCCAAAAGCUACAGAUAAAAGCUGGUGCUCACAAAUUUGAAAAUGAUCAAAGCUGAACAAGAAAAGCAAAUUUUCCACUAAAAACACCAAGAAUCAUAUUACCCAUUCAGAUACUCAAUGAACACCCGAAUUCUUCAAACCACUGCCAUGGGAAAUGAUUGAGCCAGAUGCUACAGAAGCAGGGUCCAUCGGAUUCGGUUCAAAAGCCACCUUGACAAUUUGGAAAAAAAAAACAAAGGAAAAAUCAAUCGUAGAUUACAAAAGCAAUGAGAAAUUCGCUGUAAUUCUACUUUGGCAAAAAAACUGACCUAUGCAUGAUCUGGAUGUAGUGCUAGUUUCUUCUUCCUCUGUUUCUGCGAAUCCACUUUGUAACAUUGUUUUGCCAAUCUCUCUCAACCAUUCUGAUAAACCACCAUGGUCUUCCUGUUGUGAAUACAAUGUAUCCCAUGCUCAAUCCUAACACCACUCCACAUCCAUAGCCCAUCAUUACAACUUUCCAAAUAAAGGCUAUAUCAGAACCUUCAUCUUCCUUAACCAUUGGUACCAGUGGUUUUGGUUCAGGGUCACCGCAUUGUUUUGACAGUGGGAGGCCACACAAUCCCAAGUUACCACCAUAAGAAUCAUUCUCAAAAGUAUCAAAUUGCUUCCCAUGGGGAAUUGGUCCCACAAGAUCAUUUUGUGAAAGAUUUAAUACUUCGAGGAAUGUCAGAUUCGUCAAUUGAGAAGGAAUUCUGCCACCAAGCCUGUUUGACGAGAGAUCUAAUGAUUAAGUGCUAUCAUAUUUCCAAUAGUUGGUGAGAUAAGACCAGUCAAGUUGUUGUGAGACAAAUUGAGUCCUUGAAGCGAAAUAAGUUCUCCGAAUUCUUCAGGAAUUUGUCCACAGAAUAGAUUAUUCGAAAAGUCCAUAAAUGUGUAAAUGGCAAAGGUUUUCACCAACUCAAUCUCCAAUCUUUUCGUUGUUACAUUCACUGAGUAAUAGUCAUUAAAAGAUAAAGCUACAUCUCUACUUAUGAAUCUCGUGAAUUCCCAAGGUCUCUCUUCAGGUAUAUCUUUCAUUGCUCUCAAAUUUUGGAAGAAUUUUGUUGGCAAGGGACCGUUGAGCUCAUUAUGAGACAGAUCAAUUAUUUGCAGUGCAGAGAAGUUAGAUGAAGCUAUGGAAUUGGGCAUGGGACCAUGCAAUCUAUUAUUUCGUAAAAGAAGAACUUGCAGAUUUGGAAGUGAAGCAAACCAAUGGGGAAAGGUAUCAGUGAACUUGUUGUUCCUUAAAUUCGAAAGUUUCAAGGAACUACAAUUAGCCAAAGACCGUGACAAUAAUCCUUCCAAUUUAUUGUCAUUGAGGAGAAGAAUUUCCAAGUUAUUACCUCUAAAAGAAUCAGGCAUUUUACCGUGAAAAUUAUUCAUCUCCAAAUUCAUUACCAUGAGAGAAGAGCUGAGAUUUCCAAAACAUUCUGGAAUAGUUCCGCUCAAGUUAUUUCUAGACAAGUCAAGAAUCAAAAGUGAACUCCAAUUGCAAAUCAAAAGAGGGAUAUUUCCGGUUAAUUUAUUCUUUGAAACGUAGAAUGCAAUCAAAGAUUGUGGUGGAUUUGGACUUUGAUUAUUCAAGCAAGUUGAUAGAAUUGGACCUUGAAGCAAGUUGGAUCGAAGGUCAAGAACGUCAAGAUUUUUUCCUGGAAAAUGCCCUAAAGUGGUCAAAAAGUUGUAAGAAAGGUUCAAAGAUUUCAAAUUGUCCCACCCUUCUGCUUCCCAUUUGGAAAUUCCACCAUGAAUCUUGUUACUGGAAAGAUCUAAAAUCUUCAAAUUUGAUGUUCGAAAGAAACUUGGGAAUUGUCUUAUGCUACAAGAAGAGAAUGACACUUUAACAAGCUGAGGGAAGGAAUAGUUAAUAUCAUUUUCGCUUGCGCUUAAUGAUAGUAAACUAUUAUUUGAAAGAUCAAGAUCCCUAAGAUAUUUGAGUUUUGCAAGCAUAUUUGACUUGAUGACACCACUCAAGUUGUUUGAGGAAAGAUCAAGCGUUUCAAGGCUCACAAGAUCAAAAAAAGAAUUCGGUAUUGAUCCAUGAAUGUCAUUGGAACUCAAAUCAAUAUAUUCCAGAGAAUUAGGCUUCUGAAUUUGGUCAAUUUGACCGGCAAGUUUGUUAUAGCUAAGAUCUAAAGUUUGCAAAGAUGGUAAAGUAAACAACCAAGAUGGUAGUCCACCACUUACAAGGUUACUAGAUAACCAAAAUGUUUCUAGCAAUUGAAGCUCACUAACAUGAUUUGGUAGGGGACCUUCUAAUCGAUUAAAUGACAAAUCUAGAUGGGUAAGUUGCGUGAGGUUGAACAUGGUUGUUGGAAGUUGACCACUAAAAUUACAGGAAGAAAAUGACAAAAAAGUCAAUUUAUUAAGAUUUUCAAAAAUAUCUGGAAUAUGUCCUCCAAAAUCAUUUUCAGAAAAAUCUAAGUGGAUGAUUUGACUGAGAUUUCCAAUUGAUGCAGGAAUUGACCCUCUAAAACUGCAAAAGGAAAGGUCCAACAACUUAAGGCCACUACUCAAGUUUGACUUGGGGAAAUAACCUGUGACAUUUUCAUUACUACCUAAAUCUAUGUGUUGGAGGUAUGGAAGGGAAAAAACUUCACUUGGAAGUUCUCCAUCUAGUUGACAAUCAUGAAGACUCAAACGUUCUAGAGAUGAAGUCAAGUUCAUAAAGGAGGGAAGUGCAACAUCAGACAUCUCUACAAAGUCAAGGAUAAGGUUUCUUAAUUCAGUUAAGUUGCGUGCAAGCAUGUCAAAACCUUGGCUAUCAAAUCUGAAGUAGCUAUAGAUAUAAUAAGCAUUAUUGGAAAGAUCGAGUGAAACCAAUUUUGAUAGGAGACUUAUUUCAUAUGGGAUUAAGUCAGAGAAUGAAUUAUGGGAGAGAUUAAGAUGGGUCAAACUCACUAACUGAUUAAAUAACUCCGAUGAGAUAGAGCCAUUGAAAUCGUUGUGAGCAAGGUUGAGUCGUUGGAGUUCUUGAAGGUGGGAGAGGCUACUGUUUGCAGGGAGGGUGCCAUAAAGGCAGCUUUCACUAAGGUCGAUGCUAAUGACAUGACCCGUCACCACGUGGCAACUAACUCCACCCCAUGAACAGCAAUCCGUGCUUUCAUUCCAAGAAUUCCUCCAUAGGUAAUAACCACAAUCAUCAUACACAGAAAUAGUGUUUUUGAAUUCAAGCAAGGCAGCUCUCUGUGCUGGGAGGCAUAAGUGAGCUGAAGGAAGAAAAGAGGAUUUGGUACAACAUCCUAAUUACCUUUCCCAUAUUUUCUCGAGACAAAAGGAAAGUAUGAAACAAGGGUCGUCGAAAAAGGGCAAGUUAUGGAGGUGUACUUAAAAAUGAGUUGUGGCUGAGGCAGGCGGAGGGACAUGAAAAUAGAAGAAGCGGUGGACAAGUGGAGACAUCUGUUUUUCAAGUCAAUCAACAAGUCUUUCUCAAAAUAUUUUAAGCUGUUUUCCAUUAAUGCAAUUUGACGUCAAGUCUUCUCAAGUAGAAAAAAUUUAUUGAUUGUGUUGAGAAAUUUCAACAGCCCAAGGGUUAGGGCGUGGAAUCAAAACUAAAUUAAUGGAAUAAAAACGAAAAAGUGUUGGUGCCAUGCUAGCAUGAAUUGAGCGCCGCUGAAUCCUAUCCCAUUUGAUGUCUAUUUUUAUUUUAAGGUCUAAUGCCGUGUUUAUUGAAAGAAAAAGUGUUGACUGGUUCCUAUUGGAGGGCACACUUUGAAACUCAAUCCCCUUCAUAGACUUGUUUUUUCUAAAGAUUGGGCGUAGUCUUUACUCAGUAAAGUUAAUUAAUUAUUACAUGAACCCUUAGCCCACUUUAAUUCCUUUUCUUACGUAUGAAAUAUAUAUAUAUAUAUAUAUAUAAUCUUUGAUUAUCUAAUUCAAUAAUAAAUAUAAAAAAUGUAAAAAAGUACUACUUUGGGAUCAAUCCCAACCAGAGAACAUUAUUCUUCUCUCCCUCGGGGGUCGAUCUGACAAUGCAAUAAAACAUCAUUAUUUUAUCGAAUUAUUUCAAAACAUAGCAUUAUUCAACUAUUCAAUUUUAAUCCAUUUAUUUAUUAUUCUAUUUCUCAACAAACCAUAAUUGUCCAUUUUUAUUCAAUUUUUUCAUAGGGAUUAAAUCACCUAUAAUUAUUUUUACUUAGAUACUAUAGUAUUUAAUAUAAUACCAAAUAAUUAAGAUCCAUUAAAAAAUAUAUAUAUAUAAAAUAAGAAAUAAAUUUUUCACAUAUGAAAAUUUCUCCCUUCUUUUAAUUUUCACUUAACAAACUAAUCAAUAAAACAAUAUGAUAAGAAAUGUGCUCGGAUUCGACCUCAUGCUCAAAUAUGAAAAUAAUUAAUAAAUUAAAAUUAUAACGCAAUGGAAUAAUAAAUUAGUAUUUAAUCAGAAAAACAGUUGAAUCCUACAUGAUUAAUGUUUGUGAUUUUCAUGUAAUUUUCAAAUUAAAUAUAAACAUUUAUAAGUUUAAGAGUUACAUACAUUGCUCUAGAUAUUGUAAUCAAGAGUCAAUUAAAUCAAAGUCUUUGCUUAUUCACUUUUAGGAUUUAUCAAAUCUUUAGCCACUCUAGUGUUUGGCCUCUAAUAGUAAUCCAUACAAUGACCAAAUAAGACCUUCUCAAAGGUAAGAUUUUUACUUGUGCUAGCAAGUUUUGGUUCUAAAACAAAGAGACCAAAAUUCUUGCCGAAUCUUAUUUUUUUNNNNNNNNNNNNNNNNNNNNNNNNNNNNNNNNNNNNNNNNNNNNNNNNNNNNNNNNNNNNNNNNNNNNNNNNNNNNNNNNNNNNNNNNNNNNNNNNNNNNNNNNNNNNNNNNNNNNNNNNNNNNNNNNNNNNNNNNNNNNNNNNNNNNNNNNNNNNNNNNNNNNNNNNNNNNNNNNNNNNNNNNNNNNNNNNNNNNNNNNNNNNNNNNNNNNNNNNNNNNNNNNNNNNNNNNNNNNNNNNNNNNNNNNNNNNNNNNNNNNNNNNNNNNNNNNNNNNNNNNNNNNNNNNNNNNNNNNNNNNNNNNNNNNNNNNNNNNNNNNNNNNNNNNNNNNNNNNNNNNNNNNNNNNNNNNNNNNNNNNNNNNNNNNNNNNNNNNNNNNNNNNNNNNNNNNNNNNNNNNNNNNNNNNNNNNNNNNNNNNNNNNNNNNNNNNNNNNNNNNNNNNNNNNNNNNNNNNNNNNNNNNNNNNNNNNNNNNNNNNNNNNNNNNNNNNNNNNNNNNNNNNNNNNNNNNNNNNNNNNNNNNNNNNNNNNNNNNNNNNNNNNNNNNNNNNNNNNNNNNNNNNNNNNNNNNNNNNNNNNNNNNNNNNNNNNNNNNNNNNNNNNNNNNNNNNNNNNNNNNNNNNNNNNNNNNNNNNNNNNNNNNNNNNNNNNNNNNNNNNNNNNNNNNNNNNNNNNNNNNNNNNNNNNNNNNNNNNNNNNNNNNNNNNNNNNNNNNNNNNNNNNNNNNNNNNNNNNNNNNNNNNNNNNNNNNNNNNNNNNNNNNNNNNNNNNNNNNNNNNNNNNNNNNNNNNNNNNNNNNNNNNNNNNNNNNNNNNNNNNGAUGCACAGUGAUCUCAUAAUUGUAACAACUUUACAAUUCUCUUGCAAGGCUUUUAUGUUCCAUGGGCUUCUUCCAAUUAGUACUUAAUAACUCAUUUUUUUUGCACUAACAUGAAGGAAAACGUCUAUCACAUAUAGUUAUGCGUUUAAGUAUGCAUUAAAUGACAAUGUAUAUUCUUUGACCAAUCCAAUUGACUCAAGGGUAUAUACCAACAAAAUGAAUAAAUAAAAAGAGUUAAUUUUUAUGGUGUUGUGGUUAAAAAUUAUGAAGAUGGAAAACCUUUUGAAGAUGGUGCUGAUGAAAAAUAUUUUUUACUAUAUGAUCUAAACAAUAUAAAAUAUUUUUGGCAGUUUAUCUUUGAUUUGACAAUUUUAGACACAACACAAGAAGACAUGGAGUUAAUCAUAUUUGAGUUUAGUUUUAUCGUGUUUCUUGUCGUAAUCUUGUCAAAUAUAAUUAAAACGUUUAAACUCAUUUAAUUAAUUGUAUUAAUCAUGUUAUUAUGUCUAACCUUUAUAAGUGGACAUGUUUAUCAACCUACUUAAUUUAGUAGUAAGAAACUAUUUUAUUAGGAUAAUGGAUUUUAUGGAUUGUAUUUAUGUAGAAUUUCAUUAUAUUUGAUGAUAUUAUUAUCUUAUUAUAAUUUUUUAUGAUUAUUGAUUUUAAAUAUAAAUAAUAAAUUUAUAUUUAAAUUAUAGGUCUUUAAUUUAAUCGUAUAUUAAUCUUGUUACGUGUUAAAAAUUGAAUCGUAUUAAUUAUUUUAUAGUGUUUUUAAUUAUGUUGUGUCAUAUAAAACUUAAAACUCGACACGUUUAAUAAACGUGUUAACCGUACCGAGUCAUGUUAUAUGUUUAUUAUAUGUAUCUGUAUAUGUGUUUCAAAUCCUAACACUGAUUAGUUAAUCAUAUUGUAUUCAUAUUUACGCAAAAAAUUGUUAAUAUUCUAUAUUUACACAAUACAAUUAAAAUACAGAAAUAUGAAUUAUCAAGUCCAAUAUAUCUAAACAAAUUAUUUUUUAAUCAUGUCAUGACGUAUAAAACUUAAAACUUGACACGUUUAGUAAAUUUGCUAAUUAUGUCGAGUCAUAGUACACGAUUAUUAUACGUAUUCGUAUAUGUGUUUUAGAUACUAAUAACGAUUAGUUAAUCGUGUCGUAUUCGUAUUUACUUAUAAAAUUGUUAAUAUUCUACAAUAUAAUUAAGAUACAGAGACACGAAUUGUCAAAUCGAAUUUAUCUAAAAAAAUUAUUUUUCGAUUACCAAAUGAACUUUAAUUACUUGCCACAUGAAACUGACAUAUAUGCUAAGAAAAACCAAUCUAAUGAUUUAUAGAUUGUUAUUGAUAUGUGACUCAUGCUAAUAGUAAUUUUUGAGCAUUCAAACCAAGAGGAAGAAAUGAAGAUAGUGACAGAAGAUGAGGAGGGGGAAUUCAGAAAGGAAAUUAAACAAGAAGGGCAAAUUACCUUGUUAGAAAGAAAAGGCAUGAAGCGUUGUAUGCAUACAUGUUAAAAUCGUACCAUAUAGACUUGUCUGCAUAGACUCUUAACCUGAGCUAGUUAAGGGUCAUUGUAUAGCUUUUGGGAGUGAAGAGUGAAGACUACGCCAACUCUUUACUUUUCUUGAAUGACGUAUAAUUAAGGGUUCAAUGUGUGCCCUUAAAUGCUGACUGUAAAUAAAAAUGUAAUUAAGUAUUUAAUUCAAUGAUAGAUAUAUAAACAGUAAACACAGUAAAGAGAGAAAUGCACAGAGCCUAUUGGUGUAAGUAUGAGAUUAAUGCAUCAAAUUGAAAACGAAAAGCCAAGUAUAACAGCGUUUGCAUAGGAGUAGAAAAUGUCAACCACUGCCCGACCCCUCAAAAGUGAGUUGGAAUGAGGUUGAUGCUAAUAGUGUCCAAUACAACAUAUACUUUCAUUUAUAAAGUGUAAAAUAUAUAAAUACAACAUUUUCUUAAUAGAAAACAAGCACAAUUAUUUAUUUUGUGAUGAUGGAUGUUGAUGUAGAACAUUAUUUUACACAACCUGAAGAACAUAAAAAUGAGGAACAUAAGGAGAGUCCAAUGAUGAUCCAAACCUGUAAGUUGGCUGAGGGACAAGUGAGGGAGUUGAACUUAAAAAUCAGUUGUGGUUGAGGCUGAGGGACAUGAGAAGUGAACUACGUAUUGGAGAAGUGGGGACAUGAAAGUGUUAGAAUGGAAAGCAUGAAGGUCGUUGAAUCCUAUCCCAUUAGAGACGUUAGUAGGAUUUGCAUAUUUUUCUUGAAUUCUCAUUUGAUGUUACUUGGAUAAUGUUCAAGCAAGAACAUGAGUGCAAGGGAUGUCAUUAUGCAAGAAUAUAUAUAAACUUUACUUUUAUCAAUUGAUUGAAGUAAUUUUUUAAGUAAGGAAAUAUAUGCACUUAAUUAUAUUGAGCCAAAUACUCAAUAUGCAAUUUUUUUUCAAUCUAGACACUAUGUUCUUAUUUUGACAAUCUGUUAAAGUGGACUUUGAGACAAAGAGAUGAUAAUUGAAGUAAGCAUUUAAUUUUCGUUCCUUUUUAUUAACAAAAAAUUAAAGUAAACUUCAUAUUUUAGUUAUAUAAUUUUUUAAAAAAUUAAAAAAUAAAAAUCAGAUAAUUUAACUGAAAUUCUCCCUAAAAGGCCCCUAUUUUUUGAAGUUUUUCAGUUUUACAUCUAAAAUUAAUCCAAAAUUUUAUGUUCAAUUUUCCUAGCAUAAAAACGCAGGCUCAAAAUCAUUUUCGUAUGUACUAUUUAACUCACAUGAGGUGAUAAAAAAAAUAAAAAAUUCAUUGAAGAAUUCAAGAUUGGAAUCUAUAUAAUUGGGUCAAGCCAGUGGGCCACCCGACCCAUGGAUAAGUCUAAUGCCCUGUUUAUAAAGAGGAAAAACAUGAAUCGUAUAGACCGUUGUGGUUCCUAUUUGAAGACACAUUCAAAUUCAAUCCCUUUCAUACAGUUGUUUCUCAAUAGAUUGGACGUAGUCUUCACUCAACAAAGUUAAUUAAUUGUCAUAUGAACCCUUAGCUCACGUUAAUCCCUUUUCUUACGUAUGAAAAAAUAUAUAUAUAUAUAUAUAUAGAUAUAUAUGUAAUUUUUGAAUAAUUAAUUCAACAAUAAGGAUCAAAUCUAUACUUCAACCCUUUUAUCCUUAUUCUUUCCGUGCAUAACAAAAAAUUAUUAAAGAGACCAUUUUUAUUAUGCCAUCCAUAAAUUUGAUAAAAUCUAACACAAAAUAUGGAUUCAUGCAUGCUCACACGACAACUUUUGAUUACUUAUUGCAUCAAGCUGAAAUAUGAGAUUAGAAGAACCUAUCUAAAAAUUUAAUUUAAUGAUGCUUAUUGAUGUAUGACUGAUGCUCAUGUAAUUUUUAAGCAUUGAAAUCAAGAGGAAGAAAUGAAAAGGGAAAUAGUGACAGAAGAUGAAGAGAGGCAAUUCAUAAAGGAAUAUCAAACAAGAUGGGCAAAUGCCGUGUUACAAAGGAAAGGCUUGAAGCGCCUUGACUGUUGUCUGCAUGCAUGUUAAAAUCAUACCAUAAAUACUUUUGUCUCCAUUGACCCUUAACAACUUGAGCAAAGGGUCAUUGUAUAGCUUUCGAGAGUGAAGACUACGCCCAGUCUUUUGAGAAAAAAAAAAACUGUCCUUGAAUGACUUUUAAAUAGGUGAUUCAAUGUGUGCCCUCAAAUGUAUUUAAGUAUUUAAUUUAAUAAUAAUUAUAUAAACAAGAAACGCAGUAAAGAGAGAAAUGCACAAAGCCUAGUGGUGUAAGUAUGAGAUUACUGCAUCAACUUGAAAAUGGAAAGCCAAGUAUAACAGUGUUUGUAUAGGAGUAGAAAAUGUCAACCCCUGCCCGACCCAUCAAAAAUGAGUUAGAAUAAGGUUGAUGCUAAUACAGUACCCAAUAAUUUAAUAAUUUAAUAAUUUAAUUGUUUUGAAAACAUGAGUUAUUGAAAUAUUAUUGAAUGAUUUAUAUAAACAUAUUAAAAUCAAUGCUUGAUGCAGUAUACGUACCCAUACUUAUUAACAUUCCAUAACUGGUAACAUACAGGGGCAACCCAAUAAGCUCAAAAGUUUAAAGCGAAAUAUUCAAAUGGGGCUUUUGUUAAUUGAAAUUAAAAAAAUUAUUAAAAUUUUAUUCUUCUAGCUUUUUUGAGAUGCAAAAUUUUUAAUUAAACUUUUAUAAUGAAAUUUUUUUAAUAUUUUUUUUUCAAUUAAUAAUAUAACCAAUCCAUUUAAUCUUUCUUGAGAUAUUAUUGAUCUUAAAUAAGAUUUUAUUAAUUUUAGUUUUGAAAAACUUUUUUCUCCUGAAGCAACACUUACUGAAAUUGUUAACAUUAUUCUAAAAGCAAUAUAUACAUUUAGAAAAGAAUCGAGUCUUCUUAUAUGAUUAAGUAUGUCAAUUAGAUUGUUUUCUUCCUGUAUAAUUUCUUUUAAAAUUUUUAAUUCUGAAAAUAAAUCUAAACUAUCAAUAUCAUAAUAGUUAUUAUAUUUUAAGGAACAUUCAAGAUUAAGGCAAUAUUAUUUCAAACUAUUAUCAUAUAAUGAUUUCAACUUUUUACCUCUAUAUAGAAAACAAAAAAAAUUGGUUUUAUAUAUAGAAAAAAAAUAACUGUUGAAAAUAAUUAAAUGAGUUGAUUGAAAAUAAGAGAAAUAAGUAAGAAAAAAUUAAUUGUUGGAGAUGAUUAAAUACAUAUGACCGUUAGUUGAUUGAAAAUAAGAAAAUAAGAAAAUAUAAUUGAGAAUUAAUAGCAUUUUAGAAAUAAGGAAGUGAUAGAAAAUUAAAAUUUAUUAGGCACAUAAUUAGAAAAAUGAGAGAACAAAUCAUUUUAUUAAUUAUUUUUACUUUUAUAUAUUUUAAUUUUUAUAUAUUUUUAAUUUAUUAAUUUCUAAUAUAUAUAUAUAUAUAAAAUCAUAAAUUUUUUAAAAAAUUGAGACCCCCUAAAUUGGGGGCCUAAAGCCCUUGCUUGGGUGGCUUCACCCAAAGGCCAGCCUUGGUAACAUAUCCAAAAUAUACAUAAAUCUAAUGCUUUACUUCUCCAUUACAUAAACAAGCAAGGUUCUUGCCAUGUUCCAGAACAACUAUUACACAUUUAAUCAAAGACUCACCUAAAUAUCAGACCCAUCAAAAGGAGUAAUUACAUCAGGUAUGACAACACAGUUUUCCUUUGAGCCUAUAUCUUGUGUCACAUUUUUCUUAACUUUAUGAUGCAAUCCUAGAUAUUAAACAAAUGAGUUCAUUUUCAACCGUGAUUUAAUUCUAACUGAUAUCAACCUAAUAACUUUAGAUCCAACUCAUGUUAACAUAAGAAGACUUCAUUCGACUCAUCAGUUAAAAAGGCACAUUCAAUACAAAACACACCAAUUUUGUUCAUUUCACUUUGCACUUUCUACAAUUGUAUCAUUCAUUGAAGAUAAAAUUAAAAAACUAAACACAUAAAUAAAUCCAACAAUAUUCAAUAAAUUGAAAUUCAUCAAGCUACAAUUUUUAUUGUUGCUUCUACUACUUGCUUCUAGAAGCUAAACACGCAAAAAGCAAUAAUUUUUUGAAGAAUUAAAACUAAAAAUGUAACUUAUUUAGAUAAGGAAAUGCAUAAUUAUACUUUUUGUAGACACCCAUUGAAAAUUAACCAAAAAAAAUAAAAAAUAAUAUAAUAUAAUAAAAAAAAAAGGGCUGAAGCACGCUGUAGUACCCUGUAUUUUGAUAUGGUGGCUAAUAAAGUUUACAGAUGCCAAUUGAGGUUGAUUACUAAGUUAAAAGGGUAAUUCAGAAGUGAACCUGUGAAAUCUCGACCUCUAUAAACUUAACUAGAAGUAGACGCGAUAAUGAGGACCAGGGGUAAUUUCGUAAUUUCUGUUGGUAGGCUCCUAUGAGUGGGUUUUUUUUAUGCUAUUAAGGUCUACAUAGGCCUAAGGAAUGAAUAAAUUAUGUUUAUGAUGGUAAAUAAAUGAGGAAAAUAAAAAUAAUCAUAAUUUCCACGGUAGGGGCAAAAUGGUCAUUUUGCACAUCGACUCAAAAUUUUAAGUUUUCUUAAACCCGAGUAGUUUAGAUCAUUAUGGACCUUGUCCCAGUGUCAAAAGAAUAAAAAUAUUGCACAAAGGAUAGGAAGAAGACAAAAUGACCUUGUUAAAGGCAUUUUGGUAAUUACAUGAUAAAAUGGAUAAACAUAAGGCAUAAAUAUCUAAGUUUCUAGCAAGUUCUUCAAAUUUCCAACAACUUUUUCUUCUUCUUCUUCCUUUCUCAUGUUUUCUUACCUUCCAUGGGAGCUUGCUUUGAAAUCUCCAUAGAUUUUCUCACGUUAACCCUAAUUUUCAUGCUUUUGUGCACCUUUUCGCAAAGUCCUUUGUGCUCUCUUACUCUUUUACCUUAAAACCCUCAAAAGCCUUUCCUUAAUACUUUCUCUCACUAGUUGGACAUUUUAGAGAGAGAAAGAGAGAGAUUUUUCAUAAGAAUUCAAAAGCUUUUGAAAAGGAAUUCAAUUACAAAGCUACCAAGGUGAGUAAUGAAACUAAGUUGAUUUUUUUUUUAGUUGUUGAGAAUGGCUAGUGGAUAGAAUUGUGAGUGUUUUGUAGUUGAUGUGGUCUAUUCAUUUUAGUGUGACUAGAAUGGUGAAAAUAGAUAGUCACUUACUGGUAGUUGGAAGCUAGCUAGGAAUAACUAGUAGAACAUAAUUUAGGAGAUAGCUUUUAGAAAUAUGGUUAUGUGGAUUGAGUUGAUUUGUGAUGCUAUUGUGUGUGUAUAGGUUCCAACAAGGCCUCACAUGUCCAUUUGGAGUGUUAGUUGAGGUUAGAGUCAAGCAAAAGAAACAACAAGACCGGUGAGUGAACUUGCAUUUCAAAGUAUUUUUGGGAAUGUGAAUGUGUUUGCACAAGACAUUAAAUGAUUUUAUCAAACUUUUCUUUAAAAUGGGUGCCUUGGGAACAAGCCCUUGAUAAUUAUCUUUGUGUUGUGAUAUGUGGCUAUUAUGGAUUCAUAUACUGCUAUAUUAUGUUGAUAUAUAUAUACACGUAUGAAUAUAUUAUUGUGUAAUGAUAUUGACUCGGCUAUGUGCGAGUAGGGAGUGCGCAUAAGCCGAUGAUGACACGGUGAUAUGCGAGUAGGGAGUACGCAUAACCCGGUGAUGACCCAGCCAUGUGCGAGUAGGGAGUGUGCAUGAGCUGAUAAUGAUGGGAUGGUGUGCAUGAUGAUGUUGGGUAUAUAUAAAUAUACAUAUGUAAAUAUGUGUGUUAUAGGAAGUUUAUGAGUAAAGGUAUAUGGUUUUGCAUAUGUGAAUCUUGCAUGUUGAACUUUGAAAGUUGUUGAGUAUUGUCAAAUUGGUGUUCAUUGCAACAAGGAAUUUGGCUGUAGUGAAAUGGAUUCUCGUUGCCGCUAAAAAUUCUCAGUGGUGGUGCAGUGCUGUCAUUUUGACAGCAAUUUUGACCACCUUUUGAUCAGAACUGGGCAAAGUGGUAAACACUAAAGUCGUAGCCCUACCUCUUAGCUUUCUAAUGACCUAACAAGCAUGUCAAUUGGACCUAUGUAGUGGAAGAUAUGCUUUAAAAACUGAACCAUAUGCAAACUAAGAAUGCCUUUUACUGCAGUGAGAAACGUGCUGUCACGUUGUUACCUUGCUCGGGUUCUGAUAUAAUUUCCUUCACUCUCUUAUCUUCAUGAUUGAGCAUGGGUCUUUGCAAUACUAAAAUUCCACUGAUCAAUGUCCAAAACAAGGGGAUUUAAGAAAGAAAUUAAACCAAAUUGCAUUGUUUUCAAAACAAGUGCAUCAUGAUUUCCAAAUUCUUCCUAUUGAUUGCUUGUUCUCUUAUUAUGUUCACUCACUAAGCUUUAUGCUCACAUUUUUAAAAUUCAUGUUUUCAAAUUUGGAGGUAGUUGGAACCUAGUUUGAGUUGCACACAUAUGUUUGUCUUCUUGGUAAGUACUAUGGCAUCUCAGUAGCUGCACCUUCACUAUGGUCACUCCGCUGGAAGUCUAGAGUCCUUUUCGUUGAACAUAUAUACCUUGAUGUAAAUUGUUAAGAUAUAUAUAUCUUAAGCACUAGACGUUUAUGUUGAUUAAUGUUGCCACUACGAGAUGGCACGAAUGACAUUAUUUGAAUCAUAAAUGUGAACAUAUGGUUUUGAUGGAAAAGUAUUGAAAUACUUGUUGAUAAAAAUUAUGGAAUACGGUUGUAAGAACGAGUGAUAAAAUCGAUGAAUAGAGUCACAUAAAUAGGCUUGCUUAGGCUUAGUGGGCUAUGCCCAUUGGGCCCAUGCGCCAGUCAUGGCUCUAAAAUUUGGGCUGUGACACACGCUUGGUCUCCGUUUUCAACAAAAUACAGAGCAUUAAAUGCUCAUCCGGCGGUCGAGAUUUGAAGAUCAUUUCCAGCGGAUUUGCUGUUGACUUGAAGGCCACCCAUCCGAGAUUCAUGUUGAAUGGAGCAUGAUUACCUCCUUUGGUUGUCCAAAAAUUUGGACAACCAAGUUCUAUAAGAACCCUAAAAUUCUGAGGCUGGAGAAAUCUUGAAGGCUAGAAAACGUAGCAAAAAAAAAAUCAGAGAGAAAACGAUCCAAAAAACCCAAUUUUUCAAAACAAAAAAAAAAACACAAAAACCACCACAAAUCCUAAACCUCUAGCAGUUGGAACCACAACCCACAACAAUACAAAAAAUCAAAAAUCAAAAAAAUAAAUACAAAAAAACACAAAAAAAGAAAAAAAAAUGAGAGGGGUAGUGGGUAGUGAGGGAUUGGCGUUUUUGGGCUUUCUAGGGACAGUCUGGAUCUUUAGAGCGCCGACUAAAGGAGAGUGGAAGCCAAGAUUUUCCGGUUUGGUAUAUCGGUCAUCGGCAAAGGGGGUAAGAGGUCCGGUCUAGGCAGAGAAAGGGAGGUUUUGGGGUCUAGGUCCGUCGAUCUGUGGUGGUAGGGAGAGUAUAGGAGAGGGUGCAGCUGUCGGAGUAAAGGAAAAGAGGGAAUCUUUGGGUGCGGUACUAGUAGGAAAAGAGGAGGUUCUUGGGUGCGUCGCCGGUAAGAGAGGAAAGAGGGGUUACCGCCAGUCAGUUAGAUAGGCAAAAGAGGAAGGUUUUGAGUGAGGAAAGAGAGCUGGUGAAAGAGAAGAGGAAAAUAGUUAGAUAAAAAAGGAGAGUUGCUGCUGGAGCUCCAGAUUGGAGUGUUUUAGGAAGCACGGUGGGCUGAGGACACGGGCUUGGGUGCUUCCAAACAAAUCAAUUAUUUUGGGUUAUUGUCCAAGCCCAAACAAGGUAAGAUCUUUUCUUUUAUUGUUUACAUGGACAUAUUAACUGACCCAAUAUUGAGUUGGGAAGUAUUGGAAGUUGAAAAUAAUUUAUAAAUAGGAUGAUUUUUGCUAAAUAGAGUAUACAUAAAUAAAAAGUAAAUCUAUAAAUCAAAAUACCUUGUGAGGAUAUAUUUAGUUAAGGUAAGAAUAUAUAUAAUAAAUAGAUAAAUAUAAUAGAUAAAAAUUAGAUACAUGAUAAAAAUUAUAAAAAAAAUGAAAUGAUUAUUUUGAGUUAUCCAAUAAUAGAAUUUCACCUUAAAAAAAGGCAAAGAGUUGCCUCUUUAGGGUGGAUUUCUUGGGUGCGGAGUUCGAGAUGAAUUUUCACCGAAGCGUCGGGAUAAAUUCGGAUUCUAUACUCCAAAACCUAUUAACUCAAAUAAUCGUUGUUAAAAAAUAAUAUAUAUUAAAAAAUAAAUUUACAUAAAGUUCGAGACAAAUUCUCACCGAAGCAUCAGAAUGAAUCCGAAUUCUAUACUCUAAUACCCAUUAACUCAAAUAAUCAUUGUAAAAAAAUAAUAUACAUUAAAAAAUAUAUAUAUAAUAAUAAACAAUAGUAAAUAUAUGAACAAGGUAAUAAAUCAUCUUAAGCUAUUAAACAUAUAAUUGAAUGAAUUAUGAACCAACUAAACUAAUAAAUGCGUUCAUGUAGAUAUCAUCAUUUUAUCUUGUCAUAAGCAUGCCACAUCUAUCUUAUCAAUGGGGUGGGAAUUACGAUGAUGAGAUUUUCUCGGAGAACUCGUAGAGACGAGUUCUUCUCGAAGAUAUAUCUAGGUGAGAAAAACUUCGAGAUUUCACCAAAGCGUUGGGAUAGUCUAUGAAUGAUUUUUCAAUAAAAUAUUACUGACCCCAUCAUUUAAAAUUGAACAAGUCAUAACAUAAUUUUAUGAUUGCAUCAUGCGCACCCACGAAACCGAAUAAAAGACUCAAUCAGCUAAUAAGCAAAGAUUAAGGAAACAUAGGAAUAAAAUCAAUGUGGGCUACAAUAGGAUAACUUAAGAUUAAAUGGUACCGUUCGUGGAAUGGGAGCCACGGAGGUGCUAACUCUUCUCUGUGUAUAACCGCACUCUCGAACCCAUCUCUAAAAAUCGUAGAUUAGUUCUCGUUCUUUCGACGAAUAUAAAAUUAAUUUAAGAUUUCGUCUAUUAGAACCGAGUUACUAGGUGACCAAUCGCACCUAGAAAAGACGAUUUGUGGCAACUCCUAAUUAUUUUAUUUUCGCCUACGUCUAGCAGUCGGGUUCCUAGACCCGGCAUGUUACGACACUUUUAUAUGAAGUAAUUAACAUUAUAUUCCAGUCAAUGUUCAUUUAAUCAAUUACAUAAUUUUGCUAUAAAGCAACCUCCAAAGCAAAUAGCAAUAACAACCAAACCAAGAUGAAUCAAAAAAGACAUAAAAGAAAAGGAAAAAUUACCUGUCUAUGAAUCAAAUCACCACGCAAAGAGUAAACCAACACGAACCCUCAAGAGGUCCCAACUGCAAUCACUUUAAUCUCAUCGAAAAGUCUUCGCAGACGAUGCAGCCAACAUCCGUCAAAGUGAUGGUGGCUCUGCUUCGACAUUGGCACCAGGCUUUCGGCUCUUGUCUCUUGGCAACUGAGAUUACGGAUCGGAAAGGAAAGUUGGUGACUUAUUGUGGGGUCCAUGUGUAAAGUAGCAAACAAAAUUCAAAAAAUUAAUUAAAAAAAGAGUAAAAAAAGCAUUGGAACAUUUUUAUUUAGUCUUGCAUAUUACAACAUUUUCAAUACAAAUCCUAAAUUCAGAAAAAAAAUUCUUCAAAACUAGUCUUUUCCAUAUAAAACUUCAGAUAAAAGCUGCUGAACAUGAAACGCAAAUUAUCCACUAAGAACAUGUAGAAUUGUUCAAAUCACUGCCAUGGAAAAGCCAGAUGGUAGAGAAGCAGGGUGCAUUAGAUUCAGUACGAAGGCCACCCUGACAAGUAGAAAAAAAGAAAGGAAAAAUCAAUUGUAGAUUACAAAAGCAAUAAGAACUUUGUUGUAAUUCUACUUUGGCAAAAAAAACUCACCUAUGCAUGAUGUGGAUGUAGUGCUAGUUUCGUCUUCCUCUGUUUCUGCGAAUCCACUUAGUAACAAUGUUUUGCCAAUCUGUCUCAACCAUUCUGAUAACCACCAUGGUCUUCCUGUUGUGAACACAAUGUAUCCCAUGCUCAAUCCUAACACCACUCCACAUCCAUAGCCCAUCAUUACAACUUUCCAAAUAAAGGCUAUUUCAAAACCUUCAUCUUCCUUAGGCAUUGGUACCGGCAGUUUUGGCUCCUCAUCGUUGCCACAUUGCUUUGACAGUGGGAGGCCACACAAUCUCAAGUUUCUGCUAUAAGAAUCAUUCUCAAAAGUAUCAAAUUGCUUCCCAUGGGGAAUUGGUCCCACAAGAGCAUUUUGUGAAAGAUUUGACACUGCAAGGAAUGUCAGAUUCGUCAAUUGGGAAGGAAUUCUACCACCAAGCUUGUUUGACGAGAGAUCUAAUGAUUCAAGUGCAAUCGUGUUUCCGAAAGAUGGUGGGAUAGGACCAGUCAAGUUGUUGUUAGACAAGUUGAGUGCUUGGAGCGAAAUAAGUUCCCGAGUUCCUUAGGAAUUUGUCCACUGAAUAAAUUGUUCGAAAAGUCUAGGGAUGUAAAAAUGAUUAAGGUUUUCACCAACUCAAUCUCCAUUCUUUUUGUUGUUAUAUUUACAGCAGUUUGGUGAUAGUCAUAAGCAUACAUAAUUUGAGCAUUCGGAUUCUUGUACAAGAAUGACUCCGAAGAUCUGUCUUUAGGUACAUCUUUCAUUGCUCUCAAAUUGUGAAAGAAUUUUGCUGGCAAGGGGCCAAAGAGCUCAUUGUGUGAGAGAUCAAUUAUUUGCAAUGCAGAAAAGUUAGAAGAAGCUAUAGAAUUGGGCAUCGGACCAUGCAAUCUAUUGGAUCGCAAAAUAAGAACUCGCAACCUUGGCAGUGAACUUAACCAAUAGGGAAAGGUAUCAGUUAACUUGUUCCUUAAAUUCAAAACUUCUAAAGAACUACAAUUUGCCAAGGAUCGCGGUAGUAAUCCUUCCAAUUGGUUGUCAUUGAGGAGAAGAUUUCUUAACAAAUUAUUUGCAAAAGAAUCAGGGACUUUGCCAUAAAAAUUAUUCAUCUCCAAAUUCAUGAUCGUGAGAGCAUAGCUGAAAUUUCCAAGACAAUCUGGAAUAGUUCCAAUCGAGUUAUUUCUAGAUUAAUCAAGAACCAUAAGCGAACUCCAAUUGCAAAUCAAUUGAGGGAUAUUUUCGGUCAUUUUAUUCUUCGAAAUUAAGAAUACAACCAAAACUUGUGUUAGAUUUGGAUUUUGAAGAUUCAAGCACGUUGAGAGAAUCGGCCCUUGAAGCAUGUUGGACUGAAGGUCAAGAACUUGAAUAUUCUUUCCGGCUGGAAAUUGCUCCAAGGUGGUCAGAAAGUUGUAAGAAAGGUUCAACACACUCAAUCGUUCCCACCCUUCUGCUUCCCAUUUGGAAAUUCUACCAUGAAUCUUGUUAUUGGAAAGAUCUAAAAGCUCCAAAGUUGAUGUUCGAAAGAAACUUGGGAACUGUCUUAUGCUACAAGAAGAGAAUGACACUUUAACAAGUUGAGGGAAGGAAUAGUUAACAUCAUUGCCGCUUGUGCUUAAAGAUAGUAAACUAUUAUUUGAAAGAUGAAGAUCCGUACGAUUUUUGAGUUUUGCAAGCAUAUUUGACCUGAUGACACCACUCAAGUUGUUUGAGGAAAGAUCAAGCGUUUCAAGGCUCACAAGAUCAAAAAAGGAAUUUGGUAUUGAUCCAUGAAUGUCAUUAGAACUCAAAUCAAUAUAUUCAAGAGAAUUAGGCUUCUGAAUUUGGUCAAUUGGACCAGUGAGCUUGUUAUAGCUGAGAUCUAACCUUCUCAAAGAUAGCAAAGUAAACAGCCAAGAUGGUACUCCACCACUUAUAAGGUUAUUGUUAAUGCUAAUAUCUUCUAGCAAUUGAAGCUCACUAACAUGAUUUGGUAGGGAACCUUCUAAUCGAUUAUGUGACAAAUCCAGGUGGGUAAGUUCUGUGAGGUUGAACAUAGUUGUUGGAAGUUGACCACAAAAAUUGCAGAAAGAAAAUGACAAAAAAGUCAAUUUAUUAAGGUUUCCAAAAGUAUCAGGAAUCUGUCCUCCAAAAUCAUUUCUUGAAAAAUCUAGAAAGAUGAUUUGAGUGAGAUUUCCAAAUGAUGCGGGAAUUGACCCUCUAAAACGGCAAAAGGAAAGGUCCAACAACUUAAUGGCAUUACUCAAGUCUGUCUUAGGGAGAUAACCUGUGAGAUUUUGAUUCCAACCUAAAUCUAUGUGCUGGAGGUAUGGAAGGCUAAACACUUCACUUGAAAGUUCUCCAUCUAGUUGACAAUCAGUAAGACUCAAGCUUUCCAGAGAUGGAGUCAAGUUCAUAAAGGAAGGAAUUGCAGCAUCAGACAUAUCUACAGAGUCAAUGAUAAAGUUUCUUAAUUCAGUUAAGUUGCGUGCAAGCAUGUCAAAACCUUGACUAUCAAAUCUCAAGUUGAGAUAACCAUUCCUUGAAAGAUCGAGUGAAACCAAUUUUGACAGGAGACUGAUUUCAUAUGGGAUUAAGUCACAUAAUGAAUUAGAAGAGAGAUUAAGAUGGGUCAAACUCACAGAUUGAUGAAAUAACUCCGAAGAGAUAGAGCCAUUGAAAUUGUUGUGAGCAAGGUUGAGUCGUUAGAGUUCUUGAAGGUGGAAGAGGCUGCUGUUUUCAAGAAGAGAGCCAUGAAGGUUGUUGGAACUAAGAUCGAGCCAUUGAAGUCUUUGAAGGUGGAAGAGGCUGCUGUUCACAGGGAGAGUGCCGUUAAGGCAACUGUUACUAAGGUCGAUGCCAAUGACAUGACCCGUCCCCAUGUUGCAACUGACUCCAUCCCAUGAACAACAAUCCGUGCUUUCAUUCCAAGAAUUUGUCCUUGGGUAAUCAUCACAAUAAUCAUCCAGAGAAGUGGUGUUUUUGAAUUCAAGCAAGGCAGCUCUCUGUUCUUGGAGGCAGAAAUGAGCUGAAUGAAGAGAAGAGGAAGGGAAACUCAAUGAACAAUGGAGCUGGAAAUACAAGAGCGCUAAAAGCGGGCAAAGGAUUUGGAACAACAACCUAAAUACCCUUCCCAUAUUUUCUCGAGAAAAAGGAAAGUAUGAAACAAGGGUUGUCGGAAAGGGGCAAUGUUAGGGAGGUGAAGUUGAACAUGAGCUGCGGCUGAGGCCGAGGGACAUAAAAACACAAGUAGUGGACAUCUCUUUUUCAAGUCAAAUCAACAAAUCUUUUGAGUUGUUUUCCAUUAAUGCAUCUAAAGUCAAGUCUUCUCAAAUUUAUUGAUUGUGUUGAGAAAUUUGAACAGCACAAGUGUUAAUGCGUGGAAUCAAAACUACAUUAAUGGAAUAAAAGAAAAAGUGUUGGUCCCGUGUUAGAAUGAAAAGCAAGAAUCCUAUCCCAUUUUCUUAUUGGGAAAUGCUUAUCAGACCCGAAUUUCAUGAUCGAAAUCGAAGUGCAGUAAGAAAGUUUUUUUCCUUCUUGUUUACCAAGAAAAAAGCUCAAAAGUAAGAAAUUCAUGUCACAUGCAAGCUGUGUGCGUGACAGAAUUAAAAGAAAAGCUUCAAUAUCAUAUAAAGGGUAGGAUUUUGAAAUAGAUGGAAAAUUUUGUGAGCAUAUUUUUCUCAUCCUUCCGUCGCAUUUUCACAUUAAAAGUUAGAGUAGUAUUAUUUUUCCCAACAAAAAAUAAUUGACUAUUUUUAUUCAACUAUUUCAUAGGCAUCAUAUCACCUAUAAUUAUUGCUAUUAAAAUACUAUAAUAUUUAAUAUAAUACCAACUAAUUCAGAUCAAUUGAAGAAAAAAAAAUUAUAUAAAAUAAGACAUAAAUUUGUCUCCCAUGAAAAUUUCUCUUUUUUUUUUUUUAAUUUCCAAUUUAUGAUUUAUUCACUUAACAAACUAACCAAUAUAACAAUAUGAUAAGAAAUGAAUAAAUAAAUAAGGUUAAAUAUUAUUUAUUAGAAUAUUUUUAAUAUUGAAAAGAAAUGUUUUGAAUGCAUCACAUAAUUGAUAAAAUGUCUAUAUUUUUAUGGUGUUAUGUAUGCAAAGAAUUAUCAAAGAUGGAAAAACUUUUGAAGAUAUAUAUGCCAGUGACGACUACUUGGUUUAAACCUGAAAAUUUGUUGAACUAGUGCUUGGACUUGAGUGAUUGCAAAAUUCUUACAGAUUAGAUAAAUUUUAGUAAUAUUAAUAAUAGAAAUAUUUAAAAUAUAAUAAACAAAUAUAAUUAUUUAAGUAAAAUACUCUCACCUUUUAAGUUUUAAUCAAAAUUACAAACAGGUCCAUUAAUUUUUGAAAUGGACAUUUCACCCUAAAAGUGCGAACACCGUUAAUAGAGAUUAUGAAAAAACUUAAUUGCCCUUCCUUUUUUUUAUUAAUUUAAAAAUUAUUAUUAUGUUUUUUAUAAAAAAAAAAUAGCCCCAAGAAAGGGGAGCAUCGGCCAAGGGAGGGGAGUUUUGGUGCUCCCAGGAUGGGAGCCUUUUUUUAAUUAAUAAAAAAAUUAGAAAAACGUAAUAAAAUUAUAUAAUAGUAAUUUUUAAAAUUAAUAAAAUAUAAAAUUAUCUUUUUAAUAUUGUCACGUCAUCAAAUUGAUAAAAAUACUAAUGGCUAGACUUAUGUAUCCAGGGAAAAAUAUUUUUUUGGAACGGAGUGUCCGUUUUGAAAACUAAUGGACCUUCGUGUAACUUCGAUCAAAACUUAGAGGGUGAGGGUAUUUUACCCUAAUUAUUUUCAUGGAUAAAGAAGUUUUUCUAACAGUCUUACUUAUAUAUAAUUAUAUAUACCUACCGGCCAACUACAAAUUACUAAACUUAAGCAAUGUUAUUUGCUCAAAAUAAAAACAUUGCCUUGUAUGUGUGUAUAUAUACAUGCACACAUAGAUAUACAAACAUGUCCAUAUACAUACAUCUUACACACAUAAAUACAUCCAUUAGAAUAAGGUUAGAACUAAAUAUUGUCAUUCAUUGACAAAAAAGCAAGUCAUGUUUCUUUAUCAAAUUAAGCCAUUUAUUCCUACAACUUACAUUUAAUGGCACUUUAAUUUACGGUCACAAGGAAACAAAUAGAGAUGUGCAUUAUUGAAAUGUGGAUUAUUGCAGGCCUUUAUUUAUGUCAUUUUCCAAUCUACUUUAAGUCUUUCCUAAGUCCUUUAAAAUUCUAUAAAUUUCAUAUGUGGAAGAUGAGAUUUUUGUCUUAAUUGGCAUAUAAACACUGAAUUUUAAUAAUCUUGUAAUACAAUCUAAUGAAAAAUACUAGAAAAUAUGAGUUUUUUUUAAUAAGAAAAUAUGAUUUUUUCUUGAUCAUAUAUUCCUAAAAAAUUAUUAACUGCCAAAAAAAAAGCAUAUUGAAAGAAUGAAAUUUGAAAAGCAAAAAAAUAAAAAUAAAAAUAAGCAUUAUAGGCUCAAUAUAUUUGUUAUCCUUAAUAAAGGCUUAAGGGUAAUAAAAUAAAGAAGAGAGGGUAGAUUUAAAAUUUAUUUUGAUACACAUCUUCAAUGAAAUUUUUAAAAUCUAAAAACAGAAUUAGAAAAUUAUCAUGUAUCCCAUUUAAAUAUAUUAAAUUAAUUAAUAAAUAAAUAAAAACAUAUGAAAAUAUUCUAACUUUUUUCUUGUUAAAUUUAAGAACUCAAUAGGCGAUUGUAUAAAAUCCAAAAGAUAGCCAUUGUUUACAUUUUCAUGCUUUAAGCACGGUUAGUCUUCGGCAAAAUUUCCCAGCAAUUACUGAUUCAUUGAUAUUAUGACUUGUGCAUCAUCAAGACCUAUGUGAUCUCCUCAUGAAAAUCCUUACAAUUGAUAUUAUAGCAGCAUAACUAGCAUAGAAAUACAAAUGGGAGUACCAGGCGUUCAGGAGAAAAGGUACAAACUCAGGGAUUGAAUGAAGAAUGCUUCAAGAAAUUUGGUUUUUCCUGAGAAUGGAUUUUAUCAAAGUGUUCAGAUAGAUUUUCUCAUUCAUUAUAUUUCAAUUCUUUGUCAAAAUGUAACAUCAGCAUCAGUCUUAACAACAAGUACUAAUUAAACACUUAAGUUCUGCUUAAAAAAAACAACAGUAAAUAAUUUUAUCAUUCAUAACAAGGUUGUUAAAUGCCUUUUGAUUAAGUUUGAAGUUACUUUUUACGCAUUCAUACAUUUAAUUCAUUGAUUGCCAUAAUUAAAUUAAAAUUUUCUUUUUUUAAAUAAAAAAUGUAAAAUAGACAAAGUAGUGUUUUGCUAGAUAGAAAAACAUCAACCGUACUGUCUAGUUCACAUUUUAGAAAACCAUUUUUGUGGGAGGUGGGUGUGAAACUUGAACUGUUCUUUUCAAAAAAGCACAAGAUAUGAACUAGUAAUUACACAGCUUCUUAACGUUCCAUAACUGCUAUUCUAUUUUCUUUAUUCUUCUGGAUAUUCCAAAACGGAAUCUGUUGCUUGAAAUUACUGUUGAAGCACACUGUUACCGUAGGAUACCAGCUGAUGUAAAAAUUAGUCAGAAGUUGAUUUUGCAAUACUUUGCAAUUGCUCCUGCAUCAUAUCAUAGGUAACACCACCUUGAUUCGUGUCUCGUUCCAACUACAAUAGUAAGUACCUUAUUGCUUCAUGUGAAAGAGAGAAACUUUUGAAGAAAACACGAUACAAAUCAUUUUUAGUCAUCGUGAUUCUGCUCUUUUAACUUUUCAAGUCUUUUGUUUAGCACAAUAUCUUUUAAGCAAUAUUAAGCCAAAUCUUUUUUAAGUAUUGUUAUUGGCAAAGAAGUUAAACAAGUUUUUAACCGUCAUAAUUGAAAGGUCGAUGGGAUAUUUUAACAAUUAAAACUUGAGAUAUAUGAAAGGUCUAUUAUUUUUCAAUAGAUUUAUCAUCAUCUUUUACAUGAAUAAUAUUCGAUUAUGAAUUAUGAAUAGUUAAAGUAUCCAAAUAGUCUCUGUACCUAUGUAUUUUUGUCAAUUUAGUCUAUUUUACUUAAAAUCGAAGUAAUUUAGUCUUUUGAUUUUAGGAAUUGAAGCAAUUUAAUUCCUUUUUUAAUGGUGUCUAAUUUUACCGUUACAAUGAUGACAUCAACACUGACGUAAUACCGACAUGAUGACUUGGUAUGGCAGAUUAAGAAAAAAAAUUUCGAAAAAAAUCUGUGCAGCGUCAUUUCGAUUAAAAUAAACAAAAAAUAUAUAAUAAAGAGAUUAAAUUGAACAAAAUUAAGGUGUUUAGAGACUAAAUUAAAAAAAAUAUUUGAAAAAUACAAAUUUUUGUAUAGAUGAUACCUUAUUAAUAAGUCAAAUAUUUAAAUGUAAAAGAUUAUAGUGUUAAUAAAUAUAUAUAAAUAUUUUCUUACUUUUUUAAUUGAUUGAAUAAUAAAUAUAUUAAUUUAUCUUCUUUGCAAAAAUUAAAUUUGAAUUCCUUUUCUAUAAAAAAAAUUUUCAAUAUUUGCAAAAAAAUUCAUAUCUAAAGUCAUAUUUAGAUGAAUAACUAACAUUAUGUUAAAACAAAAUAAUAUAAAAAACUAAAAAAAAUCAUGUCAUUAUGUCGACGUCACAUGGCAUGACAGGUCAAUGUUGACAUUAUCACCAUAGCAGUAAAAUUGAACAUCGUUAGGAACGAACUCAAUCGCUCAAAUUCUUAAAAUCAAUGAAUUAAAUUGCUUCGAUUUUUAAUAUAGUAACUAAAUUAAUAAAAAUGCAUGGGUACAGAAACUAUUUUAAUACUUUGACCAAUUAUGAAUCUUGCAUAUGUAUGAGUUGAGAUCUAUGAACAUUAAUGGACCAAAUAAUUAAUUAAAUUUUUUUUAGUUCUUUCAUCAUUAUUUAUUUUGAAUAGUGGUUCUUUUAUAAUUAGUAAUAUUUACUGUCACAUGUACUGUCCGUAAAUACUUAUUUUCAAAUUUAUUUUUAAAUAAUAAUUAUAUGUAAAAUAAAAAUAUUUCUAAAAUAUAAAUUUAAUUAUCUAUAAUAAAAGAUAAUUAACGUUUUAUUUACAUAUAAUUGAUAUUUUUAAUAUUAACCAUUAAAGUAUUCAAAACUGUUAAGAUUAAUCAAAAUAUUUUUCAAUGAAAAUCUUACUUUAACAAAUGGGAUAAAAAUUAUUAUAUUUAUAAUAAAAAAUAAUUUUAAUCCAAGUUAUUCGAUGUGAUUAAAUUCUUCAAGAUUAGAUAAAUCUCAGUAAUAUUAAUAAUAAAAAUAUUUAAAAAAUAAAUUUAAAAUAUAAUAAACAAACAAGAUUAAGUUUUUCUAACAUUCAUUCUUGUAUAUAAUUUUGCAUACCUACCAGCCAACAACAAAUUACACGACUUUAGCGAUGUUAUUGGCUCAAAAUUAAAUCAUUGCCUUGUAUGCAUGCAUAUAUACAUGCACUGAGACAUACAUACAUGUCUAUAUGCAUACAUCUUACACACAUAAAUUCAUCCAUUAGAGCAAGGUUAGACCUAAAAAUUAUCAUUCAUCGACAAAAAAAACAAGUCAAGUUUCUUUAUCAAAUUAAGCCAUUUUUUUCCAAUUUACUUACAUAAAGGAGGCAUGAUUAGUACCAUCAUUCUUUCUACAAACUUACAUUUCAUGGCACCUUAAUUUGCAGUCACAGAGGAAACAAACAGAGAUGGAGGCGAAGAAAUGAAAUAUGGAACAAAGAAUGAACUUUCUAUGCAAAAUUAUAUUCAAUUAAGAAAGCGAUUCAACACUGACAGUUGACCAGAGUCUCCGUUUAACAAAACAACUUCCAGAGGAACAUAAGGAGAGUCCAAUGAUGAUCCAAAUCGGGAAGUUGGCUGUAAUAAUCUGCAACCUUUAGCACACUGGAUGCUUAGGAGACGUGGUCUGGUUCACAUCUGCCAGACCUGUGCAUGAUGUGGUCAAGCAAACAUUGGCUGGAAUAUAACGCUAAACGUUUGCUCUACUAAAUGAAGUUCUAAGAGAUGCAUAAAGAAUACCAUCUAGGAAAGUAGUAUAGCUUCCACUCUCCAAUGACACAACUCAAUCUAGAACAGCAAAGCCAGAAAUCUGUCAAAUGUAUCUCUGAUAGAGAAAAAUUAGUUACAUUGAAACCACUCAUGAAAGGAUCAAUGAAGAUGUUUUCGUUAUGGAGUGAACAUAGUUUCGAGUAAUCUGUCAAUCUGUUUGCAUAAUUAUUUCCACACAAUUAGAGUAAUACAUCAAUUCAUUUCCACAAUUAUUUCACUAUAAUUCCGUACUAUUCAAUCCCAACUGGCUAUAGUAUAAGGGUCCACUGGUAUGUAGCCUAUGCACCCCAUAAGCAUCGAUGGCUAGAUGAUAUGGACCACUGCUAAAAGUUAAUGCAUUGUUAUCAUUGUGAUGAUAAAUGCUACUGACUAUUCCUGCUCUUACCAUCAUGGCCAUAAUAUAAAAAUAGAUUUUCAAAGUCCUAACAACAAGCACAACAAUCAAGAAAUAAUAAGAAACACUUUAAAGAAACAUGAACACACCUCAACAAUUCCUUUUCGACGUGCAUGAAUGGCUAAACAGAGGCAGUAGUCACUCUUUCCUGGUUCAUAGUAAGAGCAACCUGACCCUAUAGCCUCCUUAUUGACUAACAUUUCCAUGAAGAAGCAGCUUGCAUCACAAUAUCCCUGAAGAGUGUAUUAGGAAAACUGCUUACCGAAAACGAAAAAGGAGCUAUCGCUUUUCAAGAAAUUGAAAACCAUAGAUGCAGAAGAAACCUUCCAUAGUCGCACUACUACAAGUGUCUGAGUAUCUAAGAGCAAUAUACGACCAAGUGAAUCUGUAAUAGCAGCCAAAGUGCCACUGGGUGAUAAGGUGAGCUUUUCCCCUUUUCUUGGGUGAUCCUUCAAACAUGUCAAAGGAGAAGCUGGCAAAAGAUCAUGACAUCAAUAACAUAUUCAACAGGUUUUGGAAAAGCCUUAAUAAAGAGAACUAAGAAAGUGGCUAAGGUUUGUAUGCUAACUAAGCGUGUUAACAUUCAGAACACAUCAAAAGACACAAUGAACUUGUAACAUUCUUUGUGUCAGAAUAUGACAGAAACAGAAAAGUUCUUUCUUAAAUAAUUAAUACUCUCUCUAUCCACUCAAAUAUUUAAUUGCACAUCAGAACACGCUAAGAUGAACUCUUUUGGUCUAAGCCCAUAGUUGAACAGCAAAAAUAAGCAUUUGGCAAGGAAGACAAUAAAAAAUUAUAAAAAGGCUUACUAAAUACAAUAAUCACAGAAACAUGCAAGCAGAGGUUACAUGCUUAACAAUGAGAUUGUUGCCACAAAUCUUGUGAUAGUACCAAAGGAAAAAUGAGAACUAAAGAUCAGUUAAAUGAUCUCAGCAACAGCAAACACUCCUGACCAAUGUAAAUCAGCUUCAAUCACCUAAAAAUUUGAAUCUAAGAAAAUAUUUCUUUUAGAAUAAUUAUAAGUAUACAUGAAUUUUGAAACAACCACAUAUUUUUAGAGAUUCACACUACAUAAUUUGAGUACCAUGGAGAAGAUAAUAGCAGAACCAAAUGAGGAAUAAUAUACAAGUUUAACAAACUUCACCUCGAGCAAAUGAUUGAGGCUUCUCUUCUGACUUCCUCUUUGGCAUUUGUUCACUCCGCCAUAUCAUUUUAGAAAAAGAAGCAAUUGUGGAAAAUGUUGCAGGCACAACUUUUGACAAAAUAACUCCUAUCAAGGAACAGGUCCUAUCUUCUGAAAGUCUUCAACAUAAUCAAACAAAAGUUUAUCAAUAAAGCACCAAAAGAAAAGAAAAAAUGAAACUACAAAUGAAAGAAUCCCUUCUUUUAAUGAAAGAUAAAUCAUAUGAUAUUUCAAAAUGCGAAGAAACUAACCUGAAAGCUGAGAUCACAGCAUCAUCUCCAAUGGUGACUGCACAAUAGUAACGUUGACUUGACUGCGCAACAAUAAAAGCAGCAGAAUUCAAAUACCAGAAUAACUUCAGAAAACUUCCAUAAUUCAUUGGCAAAACCAACAAAAGCAUAAAUAAAAUGUACUAUAAGGAGAAAAAUAUUGAACCAGUAAAACCAUUUUUUCAAACGCACAUUUUGAAGAUCAAAUGGCCAUUAAGUAAGAAUUGAAAAAUAAAUUAUUCAACUAUUAGCAUGAGCUAGUGAAGAUAAAGCAACAUUAGAAAUCACUUGGAGUUCCAUUAGAAGGAGUGGCAUUAUGCCAGUGAUUGCUGCAUCAACACAUGUCCCAUACUUAUUAACAUUCCAUAACUGGUAAGGUAAUCUCCCAUAAGAGUUUCCUAUAUCCUCUGAAUCUUUCUUUGGUUUCUGAUCCCAAAAAAGAGAAUGUGUUUCUUGAAACCACCUUUGAAGCAUACUCUACAUUACCAGAGGGGAGUCAUCUAAGUUAAUAAAUCUAAUGCUUUGCAGCUGCAUCAGAUAAACAGGUAAGGUUCUUGCCAUGUUCCUGAAUAAUUAUUACACAUUUAAGCAGGGAUUCACCUGAAUAUCAGAUCCAUCAAAACGAGCAAUUACACCAGGUAUGACAACACAGACCUCCUCUGAAGAUAUAUCUUGUGUUAGAUCUUUCUUAGUUCCACGGACUCUUAACUUUACGAUGCGUCCUGGAUAUACCAUCUAAAAUCAAAUAUUAAACAAAUGAGUUCACCAUUCCAACAUUGAUAUAUCUCUAACUGAUCUCAACCUGAUAGCUUUAGAUCUAAUUGAUGUUUUCACAAGACUUCAUCCCACUCAUCAGUUAAAGAACACAUAUAACCUAUAAGUGUACACGAAAAUCUACAAAACACACCAUUUAUGUUCAUUUCACUUUUUCUACAACUGUAUCAAGUUAAAAUGUUAAAUUGAAGAUAAAAUUAAAAAACUAAACACAUAAAUAAAUCCAGCAUUCAAUAAAUUGAAUGUAAAUUAUUUUCAUUGUGCUUCUACUGCAUGCUUCUGGAAGCAAAACGCAAAAAAGCAAUCAUUUUUGAAGAAUUAAAAAUAAAAAUGUAAAUAAUUACUUUUAUAUGAAGUAAUUAACAUUAUAUUCAUUUAAUCAAUUACAUAAUUUUGCUAUAAAGCAACCUUUCAAGCAAAUAGCAAUAACAACCAAACGAAGCUCAAAAAAGACAGAAACGAAAAAAGAAUAAUUACUUGUCUAUGAAUCAAAUCAGCUCGCAAAGUGUAAACCAUGAUAAACCCUCGAAAGGUCCCAACUGCAAUCGCUUUAAUCUCAUAGAAAACCAGCCACUCUACGGCCGUGAUGUGCUCGGCCUCUAUAGGUGACAGAUCGGGUCGGAUCUUGGCACGAAACUCAUCCGGGUCGGACCAUCCGAUGAUGAGAAUAAGAGAUCGGUUAGCGAUGGCGAGAGAAUGGGCGUCGAGAGCACAUAGAAGAGUGGUGCUGGCGUCAGGGGCUAGCCAUCCUUCCUUGGCAGCGCCGAACUCGGACAAGUCUUCGCCGGCGAUGCACCGAGAUCCGUCAAGUGAUGGUGGCUCCGCUUCGACAUUGGCAAUUGAGAUUACAUAUUGCAAUUUGGAAAGGAAAGAAUUUUGUAUGGGAAAGUAAAACACGAGACUUGUUGUGGAGUCCACGUGUAGAGUUGUGAAGAUAAUUAAGAAAAUUAAAUAAAAAAUCUAUAACAUACUUAAAAGGUUUAACCACGUGGAGGGCAUAGAAAAAAAAAGAAGAGAUAAAAAGAGAAAGAAAAAACCAGAUAGAGAGUGGUCCGUGUGCAACACACGGGCAAUAGUCUGAUUAAAAUUAAGAGUAAAGCAUUUUUAAUUAAAGUGUUUUAAAUUACAACAUUUUUGGAUACAAACUUCAAAUAAAAGCUGCUGCUCACAAAUUUAAAAAUGAUAAAAUGCUGCUGCUCACUAAGAACACCCAGAAGCUGCUGUUGCAUUAGAUUCAGUUCGAAAGCCACCCUGACAAGUAGAAAAAAGAAAAGGAACAAUCACCUCUGCACGAUCUGGUUGUAGUGCUAGUUUCUUCUUCUUCUGCUGCUUCUGCGAAUCCACUUUGUAACAGUGUUUUGCCAAUCUCUCUCAACCAUUCUGACAAACCACCAUGGUCUUCCUGUUGUGAAUACAAUGUAUCCUAUGCUCAAUCCUAACACCACUCCACAUCCAUAGCCCAUCAUUACAACUUUCCAAAUAAAGGCUAUUUCAGAACCUUCAUCUUCCUUACGCGUUGGUACCCGUGGUUUUGGUUCCUCAUUAUUGCCGCAUUGCUUUGACAGUGGGAAGCCACACAAUCCCAAGUUAUUGCUAUAAGAAUCGUUCUCAAAAGUACCAAAUUGAUUCCCAUGGGGAAUUGGUCCCACAAGAUCAUUUUGUGAAAGAUUUAACACUUCAAGGAAUGUCAGAUUCGUCAAUUGGGAAGGAAUUCUGCCACCAAGCUUGUUUGACGAGAGAUCUAACGAUUCAAGUGCCAUCAUAUUUCCGAAAGAUGGUGGGAUAGGACCAGUCAAGUUGUUGUUAGACAAGUUGAGCGUUUGGAGCGAAAUAAGUUCUCCGACUUCCUUAGGAAUUUGUCCACAAAAUAGAUUGCUCGAAAAGUCUAUGGAUGUAAAAAUGGUUAAGGUUUCUGCCAACUCCAUCUCCAUUUUUUUUGUUGUUACAUUCACAGAAGCUUUCUUAGAAUCAACCAUAGAAGAUGUGCAGUCGCGAUUAUAAACUGAACAUCGACUAUCCAGCAGUGGGCGUUGAUCACCAUAUUUCUCUAGAUCUUUCAUUGCUCUCAAAUUUUGGAAGAAUUUUGUUGGCAAGGGACCGGUGAGCACAUUAUGAGAGAGAUCAAUUAUUUGCAAUGCCGAGAAGUUAGAUGAAGCUAUGGAAUGGGGCAUGGGACCAUACAAUCUAUUCUUUCGCAAAAUAAGAACUUGUAGGUCAGGAAGUGAAGCUAACCAAUGGGGAAAGGUAUCAGCGAACUUGUUGUUCCUUAAAUUCAAAAUUCUCAGGGAACUACAAUUAGCCAAAGAUCGUGGCAGUAAUCCUUCCAAUUGGUUGUGAUUAAGGAAAAGAUAUCUCAACUGACCAUUUGUAAAAGAAUCAGGGACUUUGCCAUAAAAAUUAUUCAUCUCCAAAUUCGUGAACUCGAGACGAAAGCUGAAAUUUCCAAGAUAAUUUGGAAUGGUUCCAGUCAAGUAAUUUCUAGACAAGUCAAGAAACACAAGCGAACUUUGAUUGCUAAUUACAGGAUUUGAAAGAAUUGGCCCUUGAAGCAAGUUAGAUCGAAGGUCAAGAAUAUGUAGAUUCUUUCCUGGGAAUUGCUCCAAAGUGGUCAGAAAAUUGUAAGAAAGGUACAACUCCUGCAAGCUUUCCCACCCUUCUGCUUCCCAUUUGGAAAUUCCACCAUAAAUCUUAUUAUUGGAAAGAUCUAAAAUCUCCAAAUUUGAUGUUCGAAAGA
RNAcentral lists this long non-coding RNA (43690 nucleotides) under Theobroma cacao (cacao). RNAcentral's name for it is "long non-coding RNA (TCAC_LNC004290)". Lineage: Eukaryota; Viridiplantae; Streptophyta; Magnoliopsida; Malvales; Malvaceae. The record is from RNAcentral.